RNAcentral lists this ribosomal RNA (403 nucleotides) under bacterium. RNAcentral's name for it is "partial 16S ribosomal RNA". It matches the Rfam family "Bacterial small subunit ribosomal RNA", at positions 355 to 776 of the family's 1533-position model. The record is from RNAcentral.
UGGGGAAUAUUGCACAAUGGGGGAAACCCUGAUGCAGCGACGCCGCGUGAACGAAGAAGGUAUUCGUAUAGUAAAGUUCUGUCCUAUGGGAAGAUAAUGACAGUACCAUAGAAGAAAGCUCCGGCUAAAUACGUGGCAGCAGCCGCGGUAAUACGUAUGGAGCGAGCGUUGUCCGGAAUUAUUGGGCGUAAAGGGUACGCAGGCGGUUUAAUAAGUCGAAUGUUAAAGAUCGGGGCUCAACCCCGCAAAGCAUUGGAAACUGAUAAACUUGAGUAGUGGAGAGGAAAGUGGAAUUCCUAGUGUAGUGGUGAAAUACGUAGAUAUUAGGAGGAAUACCAGUAGCGAAGGCGACUUUCUGGACACAAACUGACGCUGGGGUACGAAAGAGUGGGGGGCAAACAAG